CCUACGGGAGGCAGCAGUGGGGAAUAUUGCGCAAUGGGCGAAAGCCUGACGCAGCGACGCCGCGUGAGGGAUGAAGGUUUUCUGAUCUUAAAACUCUGUCAGAAGGGGAGAAGUAACAUGGAGCCAAUCAGCUUUGCAUGUACGGUACCUUCAAGGGAAGCACAGGCUAACGCCGUGCCACGAGCUGCGGUGGUACGGAGGGUGCGUGCGUUGAUCGGAAUUACUGGGAGGAAAGGGCGCGUAGGCGGUAUGUCAAGUCAAGGGGGAAAUCACGGGGCUCAACCGUCGAACUGCCUUUGAAACUGGCAAACUGGAGUAUGCGAGAGGAUGGCGGAAUGCCUGGUGUAGGAGUGAAAUGCGUAGAUAUCAGGAGGAACACCGGUGGCGAAGGCGGCCGACUGGCACAAAACUGACGCUGAGGCGCGAAAGCGUGGGUAGCAAACAGGAUUAGAUACCCGUGUAGUC
This 465-nucleotide ribosomal RNA is filed under the name uncultured bacterium. RNAcentral's name for it is "partial 16S ribosomal RNA". It matches the Rfam family "Bacterial small subunit ribosomal RNA", at positions 338 to 795 of the family's 1533-position model. The record is from RNAcentral.